UGAGGCGUAAAUAAUAUUGGCUAAACUGUUAGCACAUAUCUGCUGCCCCCCUUCGCUUCAGAUACCCUGCUUCCUUCAACCCUGUUUUCGCUCUCCCUCAGUACCGUUCCCCAUAGACUCCCUUCUGCUAUGCAAAGAGACCAGCCACACUGAAACUUCCAUCUACAUCAGCCCCCCCACCAAUGAUUUAGCAAAAAGUUCAACCUUGCUGGAUUAUAUGGCGGCCACACAAGAGCAACACCAUUUGAUACGUUGGUGUUCAAAAGGGAUUUAAAAGAAACAACAACAAACAAGAUCACAGAGAAAUCUGGCUACCCCUCACCUGAUUUGCUGAAGUAACCUUAAUUUCAACAUGGACGAGGCUGCAUCACAAGGCGCAGAAGCAGAGUCUACGAAACAACCCCCCAAGCAAGGCAACGGUUUCCCGAAAAUCCAACUCAAGCCGGUACAAUGGGUUAUAGCCAUCGUUCUCGUCCUGUCCUGGUCUGCGGUCGGUGCAUAUUUGUUCGACUUUGUUGAUGACAAACAAAUAGCCGCUAUUCAGGAAGUGAGCAUGGAUCCCAUGGCAGCAGCAAACAUGGCUGUAGAGGGAAUAAAACACAGCGCAGACAAGUUGGUGGCCGAAGUGUCUGAUGCUGUUUACAAUGCUCCAGAGAAUAUAUGUAACUCGGAAUACCUAAAGUCAAGUGGUCUCCUAAUGGAGGAUAUACGAGAAGGAAUAAAGGGGGUUGUCGUUGACGUAUUUGACAUCUUUGAAGGAACAAUACACACAGUGACCUACUAUCCAGACAUGAUGUUAACUGGAACAGUGGAUGCAAUCAGAUAUGUGACAAGCAUGAUGAAAGGAACACUCGAUGCUGUGGCCUUCUUUCCUCACAAGAUUUUGACUGGAGCAGCUGAUGGAUUCAAAUAUGUGACAAGUGUGGUGUCUGUGCCAAGCUUCCUCGCUCUCCCUACAGAGUGGAUAUCGGAGCUCAAUCUUAAUCCAAUGGAUGCCAUCAUGCAAGCAACUGAAGAAAUCACAAACCUGAACAAGGAUGCCUUUGACUCUGUGUCAAGCAUGUUCAAGGGCAGUGAAGAUGAGACACCACCCAUGACCAGGAGGAAAGGGGAGUUUUUGCCUCCAAUGGAAAAAGUUCUUGAACAAGAGAAGGUAUCCAAGCAGCAGAAGACCAGAGAAGAAGUAUACAAAAUCAUUCAAGACCUAAAAGCCACAAAAGCUGAAAAAGAGGCAGUAAAGUUCAAACUUGAAGCCAGAAAGGAAGAGGAGGAAGAGGAGAAGAAGGAUAAAGAACCUGCACCUCCACCUGUACCUGUGAAGGAAAAAGAUAAACCAGAACCUGUAAAAGAAGAACCUAAGCCUGCAUCGGUAAAGGAAAAAGCUAAGCCAGAGCCUGCAUCGGUAAAGGUGCAAGCUAAGCCAGAGCCUGCAUCGGUAAAGGAAAAAGCUAAGCCAGAGCCUGCAUCGGUAAAGGAAAAAGCUAAGCCAGAGCCUGCAUCGGUAAAGGUGCAAGCUAAGCCAGAGCCUGCAUCGGUAAAGGAAAAAGCUAAGCCAGAGCCUGCAUCUGUAAAAGAAGAACCUAAGCCAGAGCCUGCAUCGGUAAAGGUGCAAGCUAAGCCAGAGCCUGCAUCGGUAAAGGUAAAAGCUAAGCCAGAGCCUGCAUCGGUAAAGGAAAAAGCUAAGCCAAAAUCUGAAAAAGAGAAACCUAAGCAAGAACCCAUUACGGAGAAGACUAAGCCAGAACCAGAAAAGCAGAAAGCCAAGCUAGAAUCCGUAAAGGAGAAGGCUAAACCAGAACCUACUACCGAUAAGGAAGAAGCUAUGGUAGAAUUCAAGGAGGAGAAACCUAGGCCAGAAUCUCCUAAGGACAAGGCCAAACCAAAGCCCAUUGCAGAGAAGGCAAAGCCAGAGCCCAAAAAGGAGAGAGCUAAGGAAGAACUUGUAAAAGAGAAGGCUACACCAGAACCUGUGAAGGAGAAAGCUGAGCCUAAGCCCAAAAAGGAAGAACUUAAGCUUGAACCUGGAAAGGAAACCGCUAAGAAAAUAACUGUAAAAGAAACUGCAAAGCCAGUGCCCACAAGGGAGGAGGUUAAGCCAGAACCAGUGAAGGAGAAAAUGAAGACCCUGAAAGAAAAGGCUAAGAAAGAAGCUCUGAAGGAGAAAACUGAGCCAGAACCAGCAGUAGAGAAGACUAAACCAGAACCUGCACCUGCAAAAGAAAAAGCUAAGCCAGUACCCAUGAAGGAGAAAGCUGAGGCAGAACCUGUGAAGGACAAAGCUAAAAAAGAACCUGCUAAAGAGAAGGUAAAGCCAGAAGCUGUUAAGGAAAAAGCUAAACCAGAAACCAUGAAGGAGAAAGCAAAGCCUGAGCCUGUAAAGGAAAAAGCCAAGCCAGAGCCUGCUAAGGAGAAAGUUAAGCCAGAGCUCCCUAAAGCGAAAGCUAGACCAGAACCAACUAAAGAAAAAGCUAAGCCUGUUCCUGUGAAGGAGGAAGACAAGGCUGCACCUUUGAAAGAAAAAGCUAAGCCUGUACCUGUGAAGGAGGAAGAUAAGGCUGCACCUUUGAAAGAAAAGGCUAAGCCUGUACCUGUGAAGGAGGAAGACAAGGCUGCACCUUUGAAAGAAAAAGCUAAGCCUGUACCUGUGAAGGAGGAAGACAAGGCUGCACCUUUGAAAGAAAAGGCUAAGCCUGUACCUGUGAAGGAGGAAGA
Clupea harengus (Atlantic herring) is the source of this 2712-nucleotide long non-coding RNA. The record is from Ensembl. Lineage: Eukaryota; Metazoa; Chordata; Actinopteri; Clupeiformes; Clupeidae.